Molecule: ribosomal RNA, 471 nt
Filed under: uncultured Thermoplasmatales archaeon
Lineage: Archaea; Methanobacteriati; Thermoplasmatota; Thermoplasmata; Thermoplasmatales
Description: bacterial SSU rRNA
Rfam family: Archaeal small subunit ribosomal RNA
Source: RNAcentral
UUGACGGGGAGCACCGCAACGGGAGGAGCGUGCGGUUCAAUUGGAUUCAACGCCGGACAACUCACCAGGAGCGACGGUUACAUGAAGGCCAGGCUGAUGACCUUGCCUGAUUUUCCGAGAGGUGGUGCAUGGCCGUCGUCAGUUCGUACCGUAAGGCGUUUCUCUUAAGUGAGAUAACGAACGAGACCCUCACCGCUAAUUGCUAGUGUUCUCUCCGGAGGGCACGCACAUUAACGGGACCGCUGUCGCUAGGACAGAGGAAGGAGAGGUCAACGGUAGGUCCGUAUGCCCCGAAUCUCCUGGGCUACACGCGCGCUACAAAGGUUGGGACAAUGGGCUCCGACAUCGAAAGGUGAAGGCAAUCUCGAAACCCAAUCGUAGUUCGGAUUGAGGGUUGUAACUCACCCUCAUGAAGCUGGAUUCCGUAGUAAUCGCUUGUCAACAUCAAGCGGUGAAUAUGCCCUGCUCCUU